GUGUGAAGAGGCUGACAGCGGCGUGGCCACCACCCAGGAUGGAGAGAAAGGCACUGUGAGGUGUUAAUGGAAAAAUCCAACUUCCUUUUCUUCCAAAGAUGAUGACUGAAACCAAAGUGGAGCUUUCCCUAAAAUAUAUUUCAGAAAAUCUCUAUCUCAAAAAUGAAGCAAUUAAGAACUGUCUGGCUGUGAGGAUCUGGCCUCAACUUGACUUAAAGCAACAACUUCAGUUACAUAUCAAGAUGAAACUUUCUGAGAUGCAAGUGGGUGUUAAAUGGUUCAGCAAAGCCAAGCCAGAGCAGUUGGUGUGCUUUGAAAUGAAGCAACAUUGGAAAAAUGAAAUCUACUGAAAGAUCACUACGUGUUUCAAAGGCCUUCAGACUCAGACUGGAACUGCACCGUUGGCUCUCCUGGGUGGGUCUCCAGCUUGCUGACCACAGACCUUGAGACUUCUCAGCCUUUAGAAUCAUGGAAGCCAAUUCCUUAUAAUAAUAUAUAUCCUUUUCCUAGUCUGUGGACUUUUCCCAGCUCCAGACAGACAACCUUCUAUAAACUCCAGGAUGCUCCAUCAAUGCCGUCUGGACUCUACAGAUUUUGACCCUGAAGUAAAGUAGGAAAGGCUAUGAGGACAUGUUAAAUGUUGUACUACCGCCUGAAGCCUUUUCUUCUUUAAAUUUUUCAACAAGAGUUGAAUGCACACGUGGAGCUUAAUUGGACAACAACUUUUCUCCUCUUCUGUGGGAUCCCGUCAGUGCUUUAAGCAAUGAGAAGGCAGCUCAUUUCCAAGUUUGUGUGGUAAAUUUGGGGCAAGUGGGAGAAAAGAAAGAAAGGCUGAGUCUUAUAGGGUGUGAUUUGGUUCUAGACAUGCUUAUGUUACUUUUUAUAAGAUUAUCCAUUUGACUAGAUUUCUUUCCUGCUGACAAAAGAGGCAAUUUCUACAUAUAAAAUAAAUCUGAUUAAAAC
Molecule: long non-coding RNA, 963 nt
Organism: Homo sapiens (human)
Lineage: Eukaryota; Metazoa; Chordata; Mammalia; Primates; Hominidae
Product: long intergenic non-protein coding RNA 2997
Source: Ensembl